CUCCCGACCCAGCCGACCACACCGUCUCCUCGCGUUUUCUCUCACGAGAGGAGGAAUCAGCGAAGAAAGCGCCGCCGCUUCACCCGCGUCGCCUCCUCCGCCGCCAUCCUUUUUCCUCCCUCUAACUCCCUAAUUCUGCCGAGCUUCUUCACCGCAACCACCGUUCGUCGUCCAAGUUUCACCGGCUGUUGGAUCCAGCGCCUCACAGCUGAGGAGGUACGCGUGCUCUCCCUCCUGGUUUGGACCAUCCGCCGCCCUUUUUCCCUUCCCCUCCCCUGUAGUCAUGUCCUUGCGCUGGCAUGGAUUUGGGCCUUGCCAGCACUCCGACCUCUUCAGCAUCUCCGCCUCGACCGUGGGCUAGGUGUCAUCGCAAGCUGCCGACGCUAGUUCAUCUCCGCCUGACGAUCUCGACCUUCUAGUCGUCUAUGGUGAGGUUCUGAUCGAUUCCGCUGGCCACCGGUGCUUCCUCCACAUCUAGCAGACCAUGACCCAUCAACUCUUGGACUGAUCCCAUAUCGGUUUGCCAUUUAUAAUAGUAGUUGACAUCAACAACUCGAUGCAUUGUGGCAAACAUGAGCAAUUGUUUCUUUCGGAUGAAAAUGUGUUGUGGUACCUUUAUACAGAUCUGCACAACAAGCAAAACAGGGGAGGUUUGUGCUUUUCUUUUCCAGCCUCAAAAUUCUGGAAUGAAGGAUAUUCAGAUAGAUCGUUUGUGUAAAAAUAAACUAGAUGGCUUUUAUUGUUUUGGUGCAAACCUGUCGGCAAUCGUUUCUAGAUCAAGCUGUAUAAUUAUGUGUGAAUCAUGCAUAUUGUAACAGCUGCAGUAGUUUAAAACUGGGUUUUUGUAGGUCACAACAAUCCCAAACCCAAAAAAGGAUAUAUCUGAUAUCUGAUAUCUGUCAGAACUUUAAUAGACCAAAAUAACCAUGUUUUCAUUUCAUGGCAUAGUUUACUCAUACCUUAGUUUUCUUUCAAUAUGGUGUUUCAAUAACACAUUACAUCCAGUGCUCAGUCCAGAGGUUCUUUCCAUGGUGUUUCAAUAAGUUAUUACAUCAAGUGGUCACCCCAAAGGAUCAAUGCUUGCAUUUCCCAUAGGUACUUUUAUGCUAGAAAAGUAUCAACCUCAGUUGAUUUGUAUUAAUGACCAUGAUUUAUUGAACUUCUUAUCAGCGUUCACAUCAAGAGUAUAUGUUAUACCUGAAUUGAUCAUGCCUCCAUAUCUCUAGCUAUACUGCGUGGAUCUCUUGUGCUUUGCAAAUGAAGUUCUACUUCAGUAUAUUAUGGCAUGUGACAUUCAAUUCGUUGAAAUCCCUUCUUAGUUCAAACCAUUCUAGAUAGGUCCUGCCAUAUGCUCCAAUGGGUGUAGUUGGGACAGUUAAUAUUUCUUUCCCUCUAAAGUAAUAUUCCUGCUUUGAUUUUUUUUUUUGGCCUUGCACUGCAUGUUAUUGGAAUUUUAGAAGAUCGAUCCUUUUGGAUUGAA
Molecule: non-coding RNA, 1480 nt
Organism: Oryza sativa Japonica Group (Japanese rice)
Lineage: Eukaryota; Viridiplantae; Streptophyta; Magnoliopsida; Poales; Poaceae
Source: RefSeq, a predicted model, not a curated record